This 504-nucleotide ribosomal RNA is filed under the name uncultured bacterium. Its description in RNAcentral is "partial 16S ribosomal RNA". It matches the Rfam family "Bacterial small subunit ribosomal RNA", at positions 355 to 850 of the family's 1533-position model. The record is from RNAcentral.
UAGGGAAUCUUCCACAAUGGACGCAAGUCUGAUGGAGCAACGCCGCGUGAGUGAAGAAGGUCUUCGGAUCGUAAAGCUCUGUUGUUGGUGAAGAAGGAUAGAGGCAGUAACUGGUCUUUAUUUGACGGUAAUCAACCAGAAAGUCACGGCUAACUACGUGCCAGCAGCCGCGGUAAUACGUAGGUGGCAAGCGUUGUCCGGAUUUAUUGGGCGUAAAGCGAGCGCAGGCGGAAUGAUAAGUCUGAUGUGAAAGCCUACGGCUCAACCGUGGAACUGCAUCGGAAACUGUCAUUCUUGAGUGCAGAAGAGGAGAGUGGAACUCCAUGUGUAGCGGUGGAAUGCGUAGAUAUAUGGAAGAACACCAGUGGCGAAGGCGGCUCUCUGGUCUGCAACUGACGCUGAGGCUCGAAAGCAUGGGUAGCGAACAGGAUUAGAUACCCUGGUAGUCCAUGCCGUAAACGAUGAGCGCUAGGUGUUGGGGACUUUCCGGUCCUCAGUGCCGCA